GUUUGAUCCUGGCUCAGAUUGAACGCUGGCGGCAUGCCUUACACAUGCAAGUCGAACGGUAACAGGUCUUCGGAUGCUGACGAGUGGCGAACGGGUGAGUAAUACAUCGGAACGUGCCCGAGAGUGGGGGAUAACGGAGCGAAAGCUUUGCUAAUACCGCAUACGAUCUACGGAUGAAAGCAGGGGACCGCAAGGCCUUGCGCUCAUGGAGCGGCCGAUGGCAGAUUAGGUAGUUGGUGGGAUAAAAGCUUACCAAGCCGACGAUCUGUAGCUGGUCUGAGAGGACGACCAGCCACACUGGGACUGAGACACGGCCCAGACUCCUACGGGAGGCAGCAGUGGGGAAUUUUGGACAAUGGGCGAAAGCCUGAUCCAGCCAUGCCGCGUGCAGGAUGAAGGCCUUCGGGUUGUAAACUGCUUUUGUACGGAACGAAAAGACUCUGGUUAAUACCUGGGGUCCAUGACGGUACCGUAAGAAUAAGCACCGGCUAACUACGUGC
RNAcentral lists this ribosomal RNA (500 nucleotides) under uncultured bacterium. RNAcentral describes it as "bacterial SSU rRNA". It matches the Rfam family "Bacterial small subunit ribosomal RNA", at positions 11 to 508 of the family's 1533-position model. The record is from RNAcentral.